RNAcentral lists this ribosomal RNA (589 nucleotides) under uncultured eukaryote. RNAcentral describes it as "bacterial SSU rRNA". It matches the Rfam family "Eukaryotic small subunit ribosomal RNA", at positions 588 to 1172 of the family's 1831-position model. The record is from RNAcentral.
GCUCCCAAUAGCGUAUAUUAAAGUUGUUGCCAGUAAAAAAGCUCGUAGUUGAAUUUUGGGGCUGGGUGAGUUGGUUUGUCCGCAAGGGCAGUACUGNUCUGCCCUGGCUCCAUACUGGGCCUGGGGAACUUGUGUGUUCUUAACUGAGUGCGCUUGGGAUCCAGGACGUUUACUUUGAAAAAAUUAGAGUGUUUAAAGCAGGCCUUUGCUUGAAUACCAUUAGCAUGGAAUAAUAGAAUAGGACUCGUGUUUUAUUUUGUUGGUUUCUAGGACAUGGGUAAUGAUUAAUAGGGACAGUUGGGGGCAUUGGUAUUGAGGAGACAGAGGUGAAAUUCUUGGACCUCCGCAAGACCAACUUCUGCGAAAGCAUUUGUCAAGGAUGUUUUCAUUAAUCAAGAACGAAAGUUAGGGGAUCGAAGACGAUUAGAUACCGUCGUAGUCUUAACCAUAAACUAUGCCGGCUAGGGAUCGGGCGGUGUUUAAUUAUAAAGACUCGCCCGGCACCUUGUGAGAAAUCAAAGCUUGUGGGCUUCUGGGGGGAGUAUGGUCGCAAGGCUGAAACUUAAAGGAAUGACGGAAGGCNCCNCCA